AGAGGAAGCCGGUGCGAGUCCGGCGCGGUCCCGCCACUGUGACCGGACACCCCGCGCGGGGGUGACCGGAAGUCAGGAGACUC
This is a non-coding RNA of Kitasatospora griseola, 83 nucleotides long. The record is from Rfam. NCBI's taxonomy places the organism in Bacteria, Bacillati, Actinomycetota, Actinomycetes, Kitasatosporales, Streptomycetaceae.